CUAUGUGUUGUUGGGUAGGGGAGCGUUCUGUAAGCCUGUGAAGGUGUGCUGUGAGGCAUGCUGGAGGUAUCAGAAGUGCGAAUGCUGACAUAAGUAACGAUAAAGCGGGUGAAAAGCCCGCUCGCCGGAAGACCAAGGGUUCCUGUCCAACGUUAAUCGGGGCAGGGUGAGUCGACCCCUAAGGCGAGGCCGAAAGGCGUAGUCGAUGGGAAACAGGUUAAUAUUCCUGUACUUGGUGUUACUGCGAAGGGGGGACGGAGAAGGCUAUGUUGGCCGGGCGACGGUUGUCCCGGUUUAAGCGUGUAGGCUGGUUUUCCAGGCAAAUCCGGAAAAUCAAGGCUGAGGCGUGAUGACGAGGCACUACGGUGCUGAAGCAACAAAUGCCCUGCUUCCAGGAAAAGCCUCUAAGCAUCAGGUAACAUCAAAUCGUACCCCAAACCGACACAGGUGGUCAGGUAGAGAAUACCAAGGCGCUUGAGAGAACUCGGGUGAAGGAACUAGGCAAAAUGGUGCCGUAACUUCGGGAGAAGGCACGCUGAUAUGUAGGUGAAGUCCCUCGCGGAUGGAGCUGAAAUCAGUCGAAGAUACCAGCUGGCUGCAACUGUUUAUUAAAAACACAGCACUGUGCAAACACGAAAGUGGACGUAUACGGUGUGACGCCUGCCCGGUGC
This 671-nucleotide ribosomal RNA is filed under the name Escherichia coli. RNAcentral's name for it is "partial 23S ribosomal RNA". It matches the Rfam family "Bacterial large subunit ribosomal RNA", at positions 1214 to 1869 of the family's 2925-position model. The record is from RNAcentral. Lineage: Bacteria; Pseudomonadati; Pseudomonadota; Gammaproteobacteria; Enterobacterales; Enterobacteriaceae.